Molecule: ribosomal RNA, 203 nt
Filed under: uncultured bacterium
Lineage: Bacteria
Description: partial 16S ribosomal RNA
Rfam family: Bacterial small subunit ribosomal RNA
Source: RNAcentral
AGUUCGGAUUGGAGUCUGNAACCCGACUCCAUGAAGCUGGAUUCGCUAGUAAUCGCGCAUCAGCCACGGCGCGGUGAAUACGUUCCCGGGCCUUGUACACGCCGCCCGUCAAGCCAUGGAAGCCGGGAGUGCCUGAAGUACGCGACCGCAAGGAGCGUCCUAAGGUAAAACCGGUGACUGGGGCUAAGUCGUAACAAGGUAUC